ACUUAAAUUGAAGAGUUUGAUCAUGGCUCAGAUUGAACGCUGGCGGCAGGCCUAACACAUGCAAGUCGAGCGGUAGCACAGAGAGCUUGCUCUCGGGUGACGAGCGGCGGACGGGUGAGUAAUGUCUGGGAAACUGCCUGAUGGAGGGGGAUAACUACUGGAAACGGUAGCUAAUACCGCAUAAUGUCGCAAGACCAAAGUGGGGACCUUCGGGCCUCAUGCCAUCAGAUGUGCCCAGAUGGGAUUAGCUAGUAGGU
RNAcentral lists this ribosomal RNA (257 nucleotides) under Klebsiella pneumoniae subsp. pneumoniae KPNIH16. Its description in RNAcentral is "partial 16S ribosomal RNA". It matches the Rfam family "Bacterial small subunit ribosomal RNA", at positions 1 to 253 of the family's 1533-position model. Lineage: Bacteria; Pseudomonadati; Pseudomonadota; Gammaproteobacteria; Enterobacterales; Enterobacteriaceae. The record is from RNAcentral.